CUUUUCCAGAAAAAUGUUUGUUUCCUAACAUUUGGGAACUGCACUAUUGAAUGCCUCUGAGUACAGCUGAGGCCAGUUCUCUAGCAAUUGGAAGUUCCACCUGUGAAUAGUCUUGGGGAAUGCCUGGUUUCAGGUUUCUGUUCAGCAGCUGCUGUGGUAGUGGGUAGAGUGUGCUGUGGGCAGGGUGGUGACAACUGAUCUUUUUGUUCUUCUGUUUGCGUGUGCAACAGCUUUCAAUAGCUUCCCAACCACACUGCUGCAUGUGUUCUUUAUUCUGCAGGAAUCUGAUUGUCACUGAUAUGCCACUGACUUGUGCUUCUGGGAAACACCUUUACCUUCAAAUGCUGCAUCCAACCCAGCCAGACGGGAGUGUCUGGCAGACUCUGGACGUCCAAGCCCCGCUGUUAGGUUUGGAAAGUCCUAUGCGGUAAAGUUGGCACCCUGGAAAAAAUAAAGACAAAAAAACACAAGAAGAAGUUCA
This 481-nucleotide long non-coding RNA is filed under the name Numida meleagris (helmeted guineafowl). RNAcentral describes it as "lncRNA (ENSNMEG00000018359.1)". Lineage: Eukaryota; Metazoa; Chordata; Aves; Galliformes; Numididae. The record is from RNAcentral.